RNAcentral lists this unclassified non-coding RNA (818 nucleotides) under Hevea brasiliensis (rubber tree). The record is from RNAcentral. Lineage: Eukaryota; Viridiplantae; Streptophyta; Magnoliopsida; Malpighiales; Euphorbiaceae.
GGUUUGACGAGUAAUAGUUCACUUCAUUUAAGUGGCUUAGGUCAUCUAAAGUCUAUAAGUAUAUACUAGUGUGAGGGUGGUGCGGCGUACCGAGGGGAAGGGUAGAAGCUGGUGGUGAUAAGGGAAAGAAUCGGAAAUUGAAAGAGAAAUGAGAGGAUUCGCUGCUCUUCAAGUGUUCUUGGUGUUUUUAAUAGUUUCCACCAUCGGAAAUAGUUGCAGAGCUGCUUUUCUUCAGAAGAGCAACGCCACUUUCCGGUGUGAGGAUGGCCACCUGGACGACUGCCUGAUCGCCGAUGACUUGGAAUUGGAGGUGUUGAUGGAUUCUUACAUUACCCGAAUCCUUGGUGAUACUGAUGAUCCGCCAUUUGCUGAUUUCACCAACAACCCCUCCGAAACCGCUGCGUGUAAAAAAAAAGGCACUUCAUAUACAAGUUGCGGAUGCCCCCAAUACAAACCAAAAUGUAAAUAGAAAACCUAAAUAUUUUCCUCUUUUUAUCCCUCGUUUGUGUGUGAAAGUGUCUUCUUCCUCAUUCCUCCCUCUUCUUCUUUGGGUCGAUCAUAAAUUUCAUUUUCUGUGGGUAGAAAAUGAAUCAAUCCCUCCACUGCGAUCAGCAUGUAUGGCUUCGGCAGUUUGCUUCCUAAUUGUAAUGUCUUUUCUAAAUCUGUUUAUGUGUGUGCAAUUAGCUAUAGUUCCAUUUCUACCAAUGAAUAAAUAUAUUAUGAUAUCUUGAUCUCAUAUAAUUUAUUUACCUGUUUAUGUAUCCUAGAAAUGACUACAAAUGUCAGUAAUCUGCAUGCACAGUAAAACUUUGAUGGAG